UAAUGCGUGACCAACCUCGCCCCAUGCUCCAGAAUAGCUCUUGGAAACGGGUGGUAAUGCUGGAUGCUCCAACUUGACGCAUGUCUUGUUGGGAAAGUGUUUAGUGGCAUGGGAUGGGGUCGCGUCCUAUCAGCUUGUAGGCGGGGUAAUGGCCCACCUAGGCUUCGACGGGUAGCCGGCCUGAGAGGGCGGACGGCCACAUUGGGACUGAGAUACGGCCCAGACUCCUACGGGAGGCAGCAGAG
RNAcentral lists this ribosomal RNA (245 nucleotides) under uncultured Gardnerella sp. RNAcentral's name for it is "partial 16S ribosomal RNA". It matches the Rfam family "Bacterial small subunit ribosomal RNA", at positions 111 to 354 of the family's 1533-position model. The record is from RNAcentral. Lineage: Bacteria; Bacillati; Actinomycetota; Actinomycetes; Bifidobacteriales; Bifidobacteriaceae.